This 30-nucleotide non-coding RNA is filed under the name Rattus norvegicus (Norway rat). Lineage: Eukaryota; Metazoa; Chordata; Mammalia; Rodentia; Muridae. The record is from RNAcentral.
UCUCAAAAGGAAGAAAAUUGUACAGGGAGA